This is a non-coding RNA of Durio zibethinus, 3256 nucleotides long. NCBI's taxonomy places the organism in Eukaryota, Viridiplantae, Streptophyta, Magnoliopsida, Malvales, Malvaceae. The record is from RefSeq and is a predicted model, not a curated record.
UAAAUAUUCCAUUUAGAAGAAAAGGCCACAUCUCAAAAUUUUCAAAACAUUCAAGGACCAAAAAAGAAAAUCCCGUCAAACAAAACUGACUCCUUCUGGAUCUUGAACAUGGACACGCGCAUCAAAUCUUGGCCGUCAUUCUCUAUUCCUAAAAAUCUAACCGACCAGAGACUCUUAUCGUGCCCUAUAAAAACAACCAUCGGCAUCCUCCUUGCUUGAGAAAGUCAGACGUUUUCAGAUCUGGGGAAUCCGAAGCGGAAAAUAGGAAAAAUGCUUAUCAAAGCAAUUGAUUCUAAUUUUUCGGUUUUAGAUUGAAAAACGAAAAGAAUCAAAGGAAAAUAACGGAUCAAUAAUUCGUUUGAAUCUUGCGACAAAUUUCAAUUCUUGAGCUGAAAAAUUAGGGCUUCUUCUUUUCUUUUGGAUUUCUUUGGUUUCGUUUCUUUUUUUUUUUUUUUUGAUAAAAAAUGAAUGAUCAGUCUCAGAUGAUGAAUCAGCCACCGCAAAUGUUGAUGAACCCGGUUCAGCCGCAGAUGAUGAAUCAGUCUCAUCAGUUGAUGGCGGCUCACUCUCAGGCGAUGAACCAAUUGGCGGCGGCUCAGUCGCAGUCGGUGAGCUCUGUUCAUCAGAUGAUGACUCAGCUACAUCCUCCGAUGAUGAUGAACCGAAGCUACAGGCCUUGGCAAUCCCAGGACCCAAACCAAAACGCAAACCCUAACAAGAAAUUCCCGUCUUUCAAUCGUAAUAACAAUUGGAAGGGCAAAAAAGUUUCAGCCGGUAAAGAUUCUAGAACGUUCGAUAAUAAGCCUUUACCGAUGGGUUCUGUUUCUGCCAUUUCUUCCGUUUCCUUGGCUUCCGGUACUAAUAUUCAAGGAUACAGACCUCCAACUCUUAACGAGCUCCAAUCUCAGAAUCGGUUAAAAGCUAGGAAAUUCUACGGCAACAAGAAGAAAUUCAACAACAACAACAACAACCGCUUUGCUCCUUACGCGCCGCGGAAUACUACUUCGUUCAUAAUCCGAGCGAAAAAAUCGGGUGGGAUAGCGUCCUUGGUGUCGCCAUGUCCGGUGACACCUGCGGUGCUUCCUACGCCGAUAUUUUCACCGUCGAGGGAGGUUUUGGGUGAUAUGGCCAAGGAAGAAUGGGGUGUGGAUGGUUAUGGGUCGAUGAAAGGGUUGAUUCGGCUUCGGUCACCAGAAGCAGGUCAUGAUGACGAGGAAGAUGAGGAUGGGGGAAAUGGUGGGGGAUCGAGUGAGAGCGAUGUGGAAGAACACGUGGAAGUGGAGAGGAGAUUGGACCAUGAUUUAAGUAGGUUUGAGAUGAUAUAUCCAAGUUAUGGAGGUGAUUAUAACAAUGUUUUGGAGAAUAGAGUGGAUGAUCAAGAUACCCAUAUUGCUCAGUUGGAAGAAGAGAAUUUGACAUUAAAGGAAAGGUUGUUUUUAAUGGAGAGGGAAUUGGGGGAUUUGAGGAGGAGGUUACAGUUUUUAGAGAGGCAGAGUCAGGUAGCGGAAGAUGUUAAUGAGGAGGUUGUGGAGAAUGGGUCUGAUUUUGAGAGUGAGGGUGGUGGUUCUGAUGUUGGGGUGGUCUCUGGUGCAGCUGAUCAUAAUAAUGUGGAAAUGGUGGAGUUUGCUUCUGGAAAUGCUAGAAAUGUUGAUGUUGUUAUGGAGGAGAAUAAUAAUGGUGGAAUGCUACAGAAUGAAGUUCUAAGGGAUGUUUAUACGGACGAGAUUGCAGUGGAAGAUGAUUUUGCAAGAGAAGAUAAGCUAAAGAAUGUAGGAAGAGGGGAUGAUGAAUUAAAAGGUCAAGAUUUGAGGGAGGAAACAGUUGGAGACAAGGAAAAUGAGGCCAAGCGUGAUGAAGCAGGAGGCAGUGAGUUUGUGGGGGAGAAGAUUGUUGAAGAAGAGAGAGAUGAGUCAAGUUGUGAAGAAGUUAGAAAUGAGGUUGCUGACAAUUCUGAAACAAAGAAUGAGGAAGUGCACUUGUGAAAAAGACUGAUGAAGGUGACUAGUUUAACUGUCCCGCGUUAAUGUAGUAAGUCUUUUCCAUAAAUGAUGGCUCUUGGGAAUCUUUUGGUUAUGGUUAUUGAAACGCGCAACUUCUGGAUAUAUGCGGCCUAAGUAGAUUUACUGUAGUAUAGUUCUUAAUGUUCUUUUGCAUUUCGUUAACUUGACAGGGGCUUUCUUCUCCUUUCUCUGCUCUCAUACGAUUUAGGAAGCAUAUAUUUGUAUUGAUUUUAACUUCUUUGAAGUUUCAAAAAGAACCUUCUAGUAUGUAAGGUAUAGGAACUGAAAGGGUAAAAUCUAAAUCUUGGCCAGUGUAGCAUCUAGCAGCUUCAUAUGUUGCAUCAGCUGCAAAAUCCUCUUACCAUUGAGCUGCAAACUUAGGAGGUUUAGUUUCUUCUUGUUAUUGAAGUUCUGCCCAGUUAAAAAAACCGACUUCUGUGCACCUUGUAGUAGUAAUCAUUUUUUUAGUAUUCUCUGACUUUGUCAUAACAACUAACACGUUUUAUGCUGUUUAUCCAUCAUGAUUCAGAGAAGGAUCUUAGUAGGUUGAUAUAUACUUGUCUGGUCAUUCUGUUUGUUGUUUUAUGGAUUCUCGGUAUGUAUGAGCAUUUGAAAAUGUGCUUGUUUUGGGUGCAUGUUCAACUGCUUGAGUGUGUCAUGGAUAAGCUGGCAGCAAAAUCAUCUGCCUCUUUAUGAAGCAAGGCCUGUCUGAAGUGAUUAAUAUGGUUUCAAUAUAAGACAUACUGUAUAUAUGCUGCAUUUUCUUUUCAGCCAUCUGCUUGGCACUGGUAGUAUGUCAAGAUUAAAGAAAUCUAAAGGUUUUCAAUUUUAUGUUGGACCGGUUCAGGACUUUCUUAAGACAGGAGCAAAUGGAUACCAUUGUGUUGUUUUAUGUUUCUCAAGUGUUUUAUAUAUGUUUUAAAUUUUAAUCGUAGAGGGCAUUCUGGCACUUAUUUUCUAUUCGAGUUCAAAUUUUAAAACAAAGUUGCCUUUUUUUUUUCGUUGUCUUGGAAUUUUGGUUCAAAGCUGUUCAUAUUCCUCGGUAAAUUGAAAUAAACAAAGCAAUUAUUUAACUUGUUUGUCAGCCAUUCAUCCAGUUCAUCGGUUCCUUUACAUCUCUAGUAGUUUUACUGUGUCAUCAAAAUGAAGGUAAAAGCUGUUAAUAGAUCUACUAGUAUUUUGUUUUUGGGUUCAUAUCUCAUUCAAUGGCAGUUGUAUAUUCAGUCAAAACAUUCAGUGGCAAAUGAUAACAUUUU